AUUGAACGCUGGCGGCAUGCCUUACACAUGCAAGUCGAACGGCAGCACGGGAGCAAUCCUGGUGGCGAGUGGCGAACGGGUGAGUAAAGUAUCGGAACGUGCCCAGUCGUGGGGGAUAACGUAGCGAAAGUUACGCUAAUACCGCAUACGAUCUAGGGAUGGAAGCGGGGGAUCGCAAGACCUCGCGCGAUUGGAGCGGCCGAUAUCAGAUUAGGUAGUUGGUGGGGUAAAGGCUCACCAAGCCGACGAUCUGUAGCUGGUCUGAGAGGACGACCAGCCACACUGGGACUGAGACACGGCCCAGACUCCUACGGGGGGCAGCAGUGGGGAAUUUUGGACAAUGGGCGAAAGCCUGAUCCAGCCAUGCCGCGUGCAGGAUGAAGGCCUUCGGGUUGUAAACUGCUUUUGUACGGAACGAAAAGGUUUGGCCUAAUAAGCUGAGCUCAUGACGGUACCGUAAGAAUAAGCACCGGCUAACUACGUGCCAGCCGCCGCGGUAA
Molecule: ribosomal RNA, 500 nt
Filed under: uncultured bacterium
Lineage: Bacteria
Description: partial 16S ribosomal RNA
Rfam family: Bacterial small subunit ribosomal RNA
Source: RNAcentral